CGAACGGGUGAGUAACACGUGGGAAAUCUGCCUAGGAGCGGGGGAUAACAUUCGGAAACGGAUGCUAAUACCGCAUAUCUUUUUGAACCGCAUGGUUCUUAAACGAAAGACGGCUUCGGCUGUCGCUCUUAGAUGAUCCCGCGGCGUAUUAGUUAGUUGGUGGGGUAAAGGCCUACCAAGACCAUGAUACGUAGCCGACCUGAGAGGGUGAUCGGCCACACUGGGACUGAGACACGGCCCAGACUCCUACGGGAGGCAGCAGUAGGGAAUCUUCCACAAUGGGUGAAAACCUGAUGGAGCAAUGCCGCGUGAAUGAAGAAGGUCUUCGGAUCGUAAAGUUCUGUUAUACGGGACGAAUGGUACGACGGUCAAUACCCGUCGUAAGUGACGGUACCGUAAGAGAAAGCCACGGCUAACUACGUG
Molecule: ribosomal RNA, 423 nt
Filed under: uncultured bacterium
Lineage: Bacteria
Description: bacterial SSU rRNA
Rfam family: Bacterial small subunit ribosomal RNA
Source: RNAcentral